UGGAAGCAGUGAGCCCUGCCCCCAACUCUCUCCACCUCCAGCCUCACACCUGCUUCCCGUUGCUCAAUUACUCUCAGCUGCCAGCCAUCAGAGCCGCACGCUUUGGAGCGGAGCCCUGGAGGGCUUGGGGGCCCUCGGGAGCUUUUGGCGGCGAUUUAUAGCCAAGGGGAGAAUUGAUGUGCCUGCCUGUGGGGGAGGGCUGCAGGCCAAGAAAACUUAACACCAGGGGUGUCUAUGUGGUCUCACCUUAAAGGGCGAGUGAUGAUGCUGUGAGCCCAAGGAGCUGUGAGAACCCCGUGAAGAUGUUCCUCCGAGAGCCUUUGCAGUCCUAAGCCCUGUCUCCACCUGUGCCACCAGCAUCGGCAUCCUCUCCUCGUCACCCUCGACUUCCCUGAUUCCUCCUCAUUCCGGUUCUUCACAUCACCCUCAUGGAGAGGAAACAACAGCAGCAUUCCUGGCGUUCUCACCAUGUGCCCUCUUUUUAGUGCUUUUCCUCACUCACUCACUCACACCCACCCUAGGUUGUGUCCCCAUUGUACAGAUGAAAAAACUGAGGCAUAGAGAGGUAAGGUGAGGGGAGGAGCCAAACAGAGCGGGUGUGCUCAGGUCCUGGGCCACCUGCCUCCCAGCAUCAGAGCGAAAAAAGGAGGGAUGCGCCUGCAGAAUGGAAACCCGGAUGGUCCCUCCCUGAGGUCAGGAAGCGGGUGCUGUCCACUGAGCUGUCUCCCCAGUCCAACGUCCCCCCUCCUCCUGAGGACAGGGCCCUGUCUGUCUAGUUCACCACCUGAAGCCACGCCGGCCCAUCCAUGGCAGGGGCUCAGACAGGAAAGGCUAAAUUGAAAGAGCACAUCCUUGAGUGCAUGACGACAGGGACCGCCAAGCGUCGCGAGGGCGGGUGAAAGCCAAGCAGCUUCAGAGUGGGGCGGGGAGUGGGGGUGGGCAGGGCUCUCAGAGUGACAAAAGCUUCUCUGC
Long non-coding RNA from Bubalus bubalis (water buffalo), 972 nucleotides. RefSeq lists it as uncharacterized. NCBI's taxonomy places the organism in Eukaryota, Metazoa, Chordata, Mammalia, Artiodactyla, Bovidae. The transcript is spliced from 3 exons. The record is from RefSeq and is a predicted model, not a curated record.